This 1202-nucleotide ribosomal RNA is filed under the name metagenome. RNAcentral describes it as "bacterial SSU rRNA". It matches the Rfam family "Bacterial small subunit ribosomal RNA", at positions 192 to 1380 of the family's 1533-position model. The record is from RNAcentral.
GUUGGGGACCGCAAGGCCUGACGCUUCAUGAUAAGCCCGCGACCUAUCAGCUAGUUGGUGAGGUAACGGCCCACCAAGGCUUAGACGGGUAGCUGGUCUGAGAGGACGACCAGCCACACUGGAACUGAGACACGGUCCAGACACCUACGGGUGGCAGCAGUCGAGAAUUUUUCACAAUGGGCGAAAGCCUGAUGGAGCGACGCCGCGUGGGGGAUGAAGGGCUUCGGCCUGUAAACCCCUGUCAUUUGCGAACAAACCUUUUCACUGAACAAGUGAGAAGCUGAUAGUAGCGAAAGAGGAAGGGACGGCUAACUCUGUGCCAGCAGCCGCGGUAAUACAGAGGUCCCAAGCGUUGUUCGGAUUCACUGGGCGUAAAGGGUGCGUAGGUGGUCGAAUAAGUCUGAUGUGAAAGCUCCGGGCUUAACCCGGAAACGGCAUUAGAAACUGUUCGGCUGGAGGAUUGGAAGGGAGACUGGAAUUCUCGGUGUAGCAGUGAAAUGCGUAGAGAUCGAGAGGAACACCAGUGGCGAAGGCGGGUCUCUGGACAAUCCCUGACACUGAGGCACGAAAGCUAGGGGAGCAAACAGGAUUAGAUACCCUGGUAGUCCUAGCUGUAAACGGUGCGCAUUUGCUGUAAGAGGAUUCGACCCCUUUUGUGGCGAAGCUAACGCGUUAAAUGUGCCGCCUGGGAAGUACGAUCGCAAGAUUAAAACUCAAAGAAAUUGACGGGGGCCUGCACAAGCGGUGGAGUAUGUGGCUUAAUUCGAUGCAACGCGAAGAACCUUACCUGGCCUUGACAUGUAUCUAGUAGAAGGGUGAAAGCCUGACGAGGUAGCAAUACCAGGAUACACAGGUGCUGCAUGGCUGUCGUCAGCUCGUGUCGUGAGAUGUUGGGUUAAGUCCCGCAACGAGCGCAACCCCCGUGUCCUGUUGCUAUCCGGAUGAGAGUCUGGAGCACUCUGGACAAACUGCCUCGCUUAAACGAGGAGGAAGGUGGGGAUGACGUCAAGUCAGGAUGGCCCUUACGGCCAGGGCUGCACACGUACUACAAUGCCCGGUACAAAGGGAAGCAAUACCGCAAGGUGGAGCCAAUCCCCAAAAAGCGGGCUCAGUUCAGAUUGUCGGCUGCAAUUCGCCGGCAUGAAGCUGGAAUCGCUAGUAAUGGCGCAUCAGCUACGGCGCCGUGAAUACGUUCCCAGGCC